This 1420-nucleotide ribosomal RNA is filed under the name metagenome. Its description in RNAcentral is "bacterial LSU rRNA". It matches the Rfam family "Bacterial large subunit ribosomal RNA", at positions 1515 to 2925 of the family's 2925-position model. The record is from RNAcentral.
AGCUUGUAGUCGUGGUCCUUAGGAAAAUCCGGGGAUCUUAGAUGAGGAGUGAUAACGAGGAGGCUUGCCUCCGAAGUGAGUGAUACCCUGCUUCCAGGAAAAGCCACUAAGCUUCAGCUGCACACGACCGUACCGCAAACCGACACUGGUGCGCGAGAUGAGUAUUCUAAGGCGCUUGAGAGAACUCUGGAGAAGGAACUCGGCAAAUUGACACCGUAACUUCGGAAGAAGGUGUGCCUUUAGUAGGUGAAGUCGUACAGACGGAGCCCAAUGAGGCCGCAGAGAAUCGGUGGCUGCGACUGUUUAUUAAAAACACAGCACUCUGCAAAGACGAAAGUCGACGUAUAGGGUGUGACGCCUGCCCGGUGCUGGAAGAUUAAAUGAUGGGGUGCAAGCUCUUGAUUGAAGUCCCAGUAAACGGCGGCCGUAACGAUAACGGUCCUAAGGUAGCGAAAUUCCUUGUCGGGUAAGUUCCGACCUGCACGAAUGGCGUAACGAUGGCCACGCUGUCUCCUCCAGAGACUCAGCGAAGUUGAAAUGUUUGUGAUGAUGCAAUCUCCCCGCGGAAAGACGGAAAGACCCCAUGAACCUUUACUGUAGCUUCACAUUGGACUUUGAACAGAUCUGUGUAGGAUAGGUGGGAGGCUUUGAAGCGGUGCCGCUAGGUGUCGUGGAGCCAACCUUGAAAUACCACCCUGGUGUGUUUGGGGUUCUAACCUUGACCCGUUAUCCGGGUUGGGGACAGUGUGUGGUGGGCAGUUUGACUGGGGCGGUCUCCUCCCAAAGUGUAACGGAGGAGUUCGAAGGUACGCUAGGCACGGUCGGAAAUCGUGCUGAUAGUGCAUUGGCAUAAGCGUGCUUGACUGCGAGACGGACAUGUCGAGCAGGUACGAAAGUAGGACAAAGUGAUCCGGUGAUUCUGUAUGGAAGGGCCAUCGCUCAACGGAUAAAAGGUACUCUGGGGAUAACAGGCUGAUACCGCCCAAGAGUUCAUAUCGACGGCGGUGUUUGGCACCUCGAUGUCGGCUCAUCUCAUCCUGGGGCUGUAGCCGGUCCCAAGGGUAUGGCUGUUCGCCAUUUAAAGAGGUACGUGAGCUGGGUUUAAAACGUCGUGAGACAGUUUGGUCCCUAUCUUCCGUGGGCGCUGCAAGAUUGAGAGAGCCUGCUCCUAGUACGAGAGGACCGGAGUGGACGCACCUCUGGUGCAUCGGUUGUCUCGCCAGUGGCAUAGCCGAGUAGCUAAGUGCGGAAGAGAUAACCGCUGAAAGCAUCUAAGCGGGAAACUCGUCUCAAGAUGAGUCUUGCCGGGGCCUUGAGCCCCCUGAAGAGUCGUUCGAGACCAGGACGUUGAUAGGCCGGGUGUGGAAGCGCGGUAACGCGUUAAGCUGACCGGUACUAAUUGCUCGUGAGGCUUGACCCU